Molecule: small nuclear RNA, 118 nt
Filed under: Otolemur garnettii (small-eared galago)
Lineage: Eukaryota; Metazoa; Chordata; Mammalia; Primates; Galagidae
Description: U2 spliceosomal RNA (ENSOGAG00000022816.1)
Rfam family: U2 spliceosomal RNA (bases 22-118)
About the family: U2 is a small nuclear RNA (snRNA) component of the spliceosome (involved in pre-mRNA splicing).
Source: RNAcentral
GAGAUGAAUGGAUAUUUCAACAUAUUAGAUGGAUUUUUGGAGAAAGGAGUUGGAAUAAGGACUUGCUCUGUCCACUCCACUCAUCAGCCUGGUAUUGUAGUACCUCCAGGAAUGGUGC